AAGACUGACCCAGCCAUGCCGCGUGCAGGAAGAAGGCCCUAUGGGUUGUAAACUGCUUUAGCCAGGGGCUAAACCUACCGAUGCGUUGGUAGCUGAAGGUACCUGGAGAAUAAGCAUCGGCUAACUCCGUGCCAGCAGCCGCGGUAAUACGGAGGAUGCGAGCGUUAUCCGGAUUUACUGGGUUUAAAGGGUGCGCAGGCGGUUGUUUAAGUCAGGGGUGAAAGCCCUAUGCUCAACAUAGGGAUUGCCUUUGAUACUGAACGGCUAGAGUGAAGAUGGAGUGGGUGGAAUGUGUUGUGUAGCGGUGAAAUGCAUAGAUAUAACACAGAACACCGAUCGCGAAGGCAGCUCACUAAUUUUCAACUGACGCUCAUGCACGAAAGCGUGGGGAUCAAACAGGAUUAGAUACCCUGGUAGUCCACGCUGUAAACGAUGAUCACUAGCUGUUGGUACGCUGAAGUAUCAGUGGCUAAGCGCAAAGUGAUAAGUGAUCCACCUGGGGAGUACGACCGCAAGGUUGAAACUCAAAGGAAUUG
This 536-nucleotide ribosomal RNA is filed under the name uncultured bacterium. RNAcentral's name for it is "bacterial SSU rRNA". It matches the Rfam family "Bacterial small subunit ribosomal RNA", at positions 379 to 912 of the family's 1533-position model. The record is from RNAcentral.